Molecule: long non-coding RNA, 625 nt
Organism: Neoarius graeffei (lesser salmon catfish)
Lineage: Eukaryota; Metazoa; Chordata; Actinopteri; Siluriformes; Ariidae
Exons: 3
Source: RefSeq, a predicted model, not a curated record
AUUUAGACGAUAUAAAUAUAGACUGUUUACAAAAUAAUAAGAGUGGGGUGACUACUGGUGGAUCCAAUCAGGGAGUAACAUAUGAAAACCUCAGACACAAGCAGAAAUCUGUCCAUGGUUAGGACUCUCAUCUCUUUGAGGAUAUUGAGAGAUUAAAGUUUUCUAGAGGACAGACUUCACCUGUUCUGGGAAGAGGAAGUGAAUAUUUACCUAGUUAAACAUGAACUAAAGUACCCAGAUUAUGCCACAUAACGAUUUUACAAUCUUCUUGGAUCUGACUGACAGCUGUGAAGAAGAGCAAAACAUUCCGAUAUGGAUAUCCUGAUCUCCUGGCUGUGCAUCUGAUGCAUCAAAAUAUAAUGUUUAUAGUCCAUUUACCUGGCAUUUAAAAGAAGCUCCAGAUAUACAGACACUUUUAUUUUGGGAUUUGUGGAGAAGAUUACUAAUUAAAAUUAAGAUAAUUAUUGUAAUUUUCACAUUAAGUUUAGUCUCGUAAGCUGUUCUAUUGUGUUUAUGUAAAAGGCCUUCACACAGCAUGUGAUGAGAAAUAUACAUUAAUGUUUAAUGAAAGGCCACUGACCUGCUUUCCAUCUUGCUGUUUUUAUGUCUUCACUUAAAGCAUGAA